GCCUGUCGUGAACUGUUACUGGUUUUAUUCACAAAUAGUACUUACCAACAAUGAUUUAAUAAACGGUAGAAAUUUCAAACUGGUUCGUUGAUUAGUAAAUCACUACUAUGCAUGUAUGUCUAAUUUCCAUUGGUUGUAAAAUCUCUAAGGGUAAUAUCGUGUAGUCUCUUUUGAAUACAGCCCGUAAAAAUCGUAGUUGUCUUUGACCAAUGAGCAGGAAUUAUGUUUUAAAAAAAAAUAUGACAGAUACUAAAGUAAUAAUUAUACGCCUGCCAGUUGUUUCUGUAAACCUGUUGAAUUUCUACAAACAUGACUCUUGUUUUUUAUUUCAGUUAUUUCAAUGAAAUGCUUCUGACUGCAAAGUGCAUUUGUUAUUGAAAAUGAUAUAUAGUAUCUAAAGGAAUGAUAUGAACAGCUUGUAUUACUCGAGUAACACUUUCAAAAUAUACGACGGGUGCCAGAUGUGGAGCAGGAUCUGCUUAUUCCUCCUCAGCACCUUAGAUCACCCCCAGUUUUUGGUGGUGUUUGUUUUUCUAAGUCUUUAGUUUUCUAUGUUGUGUAUUGUGUUCUAUUAUCUAUAACUUUUUAACAUAUUAUUUAAGAUUAAAGUCUCCACAAUGAGAUGAGCGCAGUUCAACAGUGUUCUGUUAACUUUGAAGGCCGACUAUCAUGAAAUAAACAAAUUGAACAUAAUAUCAAUAUGUGAGAAAAUCACAUUAUUUAUUAAAAGUUUAUAAUAUAGACCCCUAUAUGAAAAGUUAAGCAUACAUCACUAUACCAGCAUUUUAUAUAUACGUAAAUAAUGAUUUUCGUACAUUUAAAGCAUGCUCACUAUGCAUAUAUUUUUAAAAAAAGCACAUAUACAAGCUUUUCACGCUGAUUCAUCCCUAGAUGAAUUGAAUAUUAAUUUGUGCUAUGUUUUAUACCUUAUA
This 932-nucleotide long non-coding RNA is filed under the name Mytilus galloprovincialis (Mediterranean mussel). Lineage: Eukaryota; Metazoa; Mollusca; Bivalvia; Mytilida; Mytilidae. The record is from RNAcentral.